RNAcentral lists this long non-coding RNA (360 nucleotides) under Hordeum vulgare. Its description in RNAcentral is "long non-coding RNA (HVUL_LNC006210)". Lineage: Eukaryota; Viridiplantae; Streptophyta; Magnoliopsida; Poales; Poaceae. The record is from RNAcentral.
GCAGCGGCACGUCGGCGGGUUGGACUUGGUGCAGGUAGGCUUGUCGCAGCACUUCCACGGCCGGCAGAUGGGUCCAGGGUCGCCGAUGUACUGGUCUUGGCAGAUCCGGCGGGACGGGUCAGCCGCGGACGGCCCGCAGGACUUGCAGGUUUUGGGGCACUUGAAGACCUGGUCCAUGCAGGUGCAGAUGGGAGGGAACGACCUGGUGCAGAAGGGCUCGUCGCAGCACUUCCAUGGCCUCUUCUUGGCCGCCGCCAUGGCUGCUUCGCCUGCAAGCUCUCAGUUGUGAAGGACUGACGGUUUCGUCAUGGCCGCAUGAAGCCACGAACAAGCUAGCUAGAGGAAGAAAGCGGUUUGACG